Molecule: long non-coding RNA, 292 nt
Filed under: Mytilus galloprovincialis (Mediterranean mussel)
Lineage: Eukaryota; Metazoa; Mollusca; Bivalvia; Mytilida; Mytilidae
Source: RNAcentral
UAUUUAACAGCCGAUAUAUUUCCAUACAAGUACAAUAUUCCAACAAUAAUAUAUAAUUUAUAUACGGGGCGGAGCUACUCAAAUAAUAGUCUUAUUUGAAUUCGUACGGACCAAAUGGGAUUAUCUUAAAUAUUACAAUGACAUUAAAUGCAAGGCAUCUGGGCUGCUUCUUACCUCUAAACUUCUACCUUUAUAAAUAAUAUAAACUGCGAGGCAUACAGCUAAAUGCGCUGCUUCUUACCUCUAGGAACCCCCGGGAUGAGCCUUGCUGCAAGCCAAACGUAAACGCAGC